Molecule: ribosomal RNA, 488 nt
Filed under: Diopsis nr. circularis KCADI065-14
Lineage: Eukaryota; Metazoa; Arthropoda; Insecta; Diptera; Diopsidae
Description: partial 16S ribosomal RNA
Rfam family: Bacterial large subunit ribosomal RNA (bases 250-408)
Source: RNAcentral
GUUUCAUUUAAAAUUAUAUUAGAAUUUUAUUUUUUAGUUAAAAAGCUAAAAUAUUUUUAAAAGACGAGAAGACCCUAUAAAUCUUUAUUAUUUAUUUAUUAUUGAUUUAUAUAAGAUAAAAUUUUUAAUUAAUAAAUGAAUAAUUUUAUUGGGGUGAUAUUAAAAUUUAAAAAACUUUUAAUAUUUUAUUUCAUUGAUUAAUGAGUUUGUGAUCCAUUAUUAGUGAUUAAAAAAUUAAGUUACUUUAGGGAUAACAGCGUAAUUUUUUUGGAGAGUUCAUAUCGAUAAAAAAGUUUGCGACCUCGAUGUUGGAUUAAGAUUCUUAUUUAGAUGUAGAAGUUUAAAUAUAAAGUCUGUUCGACUUUAAAAUCUUACAUGAUCUGAGUUCAAACCGGUGUAAGCCAGGUUGGUUUCUAUCUUUAAAUUAUUAAAAUAUUUUAGUACGAAAGGAAUAAUUAUUUAAUUUUUAAAAAUUUAUUAUAUAGAAU